RNAcentral lists this ribosomal RNA (501 nucleotides) under uncultured bacterium. Its description in RNAcentral is "partial 16S ribosomal RNA". It matches the Rfam family "Bacterial small subunit ribosomal RNA", at positions 28 to 526 of the family's 1533-position model. The record is from RNAcentral.
GAUGAACGCUGGCGGCAGGCUUAACACAUGCAAGUCGAGCGGGGGAAGGUAGCUUGCUACCGGACCUAGCGGCGGACGGGUGAGUAAUGCUUAGGAAUCUGCCUAUUAGUGGGGGACAACAUCUCGAAAGGGAUGCUAAUACCGCAUACGUCCUACGGGAGAAAGCAGGGGAUCUUCGGACCUUGCGCUAAUAGAUGAGCCUAAGUCGGAUUAGCUAGUUGGUGGGGUAAAGGCCUACCACGGCGACGAUCUGUAGCGGGUCUGAGAGGAUGAUACGCCACACUGGGACUGAGACACGGACCAGACGCCUACGGGAGGCAGCAGUGGGGAAUAUUGGACAAGGGGGGGAACCCUGAGCCAGCCAUGCCGCGUGUGUGAAGAAGGCCUUAUGGUUGUAAAGCACUUUAAGCGAGGAGGAGGCUACUUUGGUUAAUACCUAGAGAUAGUGGACGUUACUCGCAGAAUAAGCACCGGCUAACUCUGUGCCAGCCGCCGUAAUAC